AACGAACGCUGGCGGCAGGCCUAACACAUGCAAGUCGAACGCUCCGCAAGGGAGUGGCGCACGGGUGAGUAACACGUGGGAACCUACCUUCUGGUACGGAACAACCAAGGGAAACUUUGGCUAAGACCGUAUACGACCUCCGGGUGAAAGAUUGAUCGCCGGAAGAGGGGCCCGCGUCCGAUUAGGUAGUUGGUGAGGUAACGGCUCACCAAGCCUUCGAUCGGUAGCUGGUCUGAGAGGAUGACCAGCCACACUGGGACUGAGACACGGCCCAGACUCCUACGGGAGGCAGCAGUGGGGAAUAUUGGACAAUGGGCGCAAGCCUGAUCCAGCCAUGCCGCGUGAGUGAUGAAGGCCUUGGUU
RNAcentral lists this ribosomal RNA (363 nucleotides) under uncultured bacterium. Its description in RNAcentral is "bacterial SSU rRNA". It matches the Rfam family "Bacterial small subunit ribosomal RNA", at positions 29 to 424 of the family's 1533-position model. The record is from RNAcentral.